CCCAGGUGCUCUGACGAGGUUGCACUACUGUGCUCUGAGAAGCAGUGCAAUGAUAUUGUCAAAGCAUCGGGGACCA
This 76-nucleotide microRNA precursor is filed under the name Canis lupus familiaris (dog). Its description in RNAcentral is "microRNA cfa-mir-301b precursor". Its record names the gene cfa-mir-301b. It matches the Rfam family "mir-301 microRNA precursor family", at positions 7 to 78 of the family's 84-position model. Lineage: Eukaryota; Metazoa; Chordata; Mammalia; Carnivora; Canidae. The record is from miRBase by way of RNAcentral. RNAcentral also lists the same sequence under 2 other names.